Lotus japonicus is the source of this 1434-nucleotide long non-coding RNA. RefSeq lists it as uncharacterized. Lineage: Eukaryota; Viridiplantae; Streptophyta; Magnoliopsida; Fabales; Fabaceae. The transcript has 3 exons. The record is from RefSeq and is a predicted model, not a curated record.
CCGAAUAAAAUUUCUUUUCACGAUUAAUUUGAUGUAACGUGAAGGGAAAACCUGAACAAGGGGUAAAUGGAUGGAAUGAAUUUGUGAAGGAGAAAGUUCAAGAAAAGCUAAAGAUUGUAUCAAAGUCGAUAAGAGUUAUAGCACGACUAAUAUUCGCAUUUAAAACCUAGGACAAGAACUUUAGGAAACAAAACUAUGUUCCAGCUUUGGAACACUAUAGGAAUAUAAUUUCCAACAAACUUCCAGCUUUGGAACACUAUAGGAAAUUUUCCAAAAAUCUUCUAGAGGAAAAUAAGACUUUCUCUUAUUCCUUUCCAAAACGAGCGUUUCGAUACGAAACUCUAGGAUGUACGAACGUCUGAUUCCGAUACUCGGAAGUUUGCCGAAACGGAAUCCCUGAUAGUUCAGAAACCCUAAAAUCGACGGACGAUGGAGACUUUUCUACUCGGGGCUUCAAAUAAAGAUUUCAUCCGCGGAUGCUCACUCUAAUCGACGUUCCAAAUCUUUCUUCAGAAGGAAGUUUCUGCAUCCGAGGUCAAUAUCAUAAAGUGCAUAAAGUGCAUUUUUAAUGCCGGUAAGCAUUAAAAACAAGCCUCGAAAACCAAAAAUCAUACUGAUAUUUCUUUGAAGAAUUAGAAGAUUCAGCGGGAAGAAUAUUGUGUCUAAAAUACGUUGGAAUCAGUAGGAAAAAUCGGAAUCGCGAAAUUUUCAUUUUUCCGCGUUUUCCAUUUCCUAUAUAUAGUAUGAAAAAUGAAAAAAAAAAAACAAAAAAUUGCCAUUUGGAGAGGGAGUGGCCGAGAGCUUGGAGGAGAGAAAGAGGAGAAGUGAUUUUCGCCGUUUCUUGCCCGAUUGCUUCACCGUUCGUUGCUAAUCGAAGACAUCGAGGUUCGUUUGUGGAAACCUUGGGCUUGACUGAACAAGCUUGUGAGCGAGACCUGCACCGCGAGACUAGAACAACUCGAGACGUUCAACAGAUGAUUCAAGAAGGUUCGUCGUUCGGGGAGGACCCGGAGCGAAAUGACUACUACUGAGCCUUCGACGUGGACCCGGACUUCAUGGAAGAUCAGAUGAGGGUCGAAGAUAGUGGUGUAGGAUAUGGGUGGUUAGAGUUACUGAUUUUGGUUGUCAUGGUCAUAGCUCUGAUUCAUCAGUUGUAUUUUGGGGCAGGGUAGGUUCCCGACUAUUAGCUUUUUGUGUGAUUCUCUUCCAUGAGGAUCACAGGGAGUUUGUCGGGCGUAGGAAGUCUUUUGGAGGCCGUUUGGGGCUAAUUUAUUUUCUUGGAGGACUGUAGUUAUAAAGCUUGUGACUCUGACUAUGAGCCGCACUUAUUUGCCCGCGGGCACUACUUUCAAUUACUUAAUAUUACUUUCCGUCACUUGAGGACACUCGUGACGAUGUUUUUAGUUGCAGCAAGGGCUGUGCUUAUUUUGUAUA